This 497-nucleotide ribosomal RNA is filed under the name uncultured bacterium. RNAcentral's name for it is "partial 16S ribosomal RNA". It matches the Rfam family "Bacterial small subunit ribosomal RNA", at positions 28 to 507 of the family's 1533-position model. The record is from RNAcentral.
GAUGAACGCUGGCGGCGUGCCUAAUACAUGCAAGUCGAGCGAACAGACGAGGAGCUUGCUCCUCUGACGUUAGCGGCGGACGGGUGAGUAACACGUGGAUAACCUACCUAUAAGACUGGGAUAACUUCGGGAAACCGGAGCUAAUACCGGAUAAUAUAUUGAACCGCAUGGUUCAAUAGUGAAAGACGGUUUUGCUGUCACUUAUAGAUGGAUCCGCGCCGCAUUAGCUAGUUGGUAAGGUAACGGCUUACCAAGGCAACGAUGCGUAGCCGACCUGAGAGGGUGCUCGGCCACACUGGAACUGAGCCACGGUCCAGACUCCUACGGGAGGCAGCAGUAGGGAAUCUUCCGCAAUGGGCGCAAGCCUGACGGAGCAACGCCGCGUGAGUGAUGAAGGUCCUCGGAUCGUAAAACUCUGUUAUUAGGGAAGAACAAAUGUGUAAGUACCUAUGCACGUCUUGACGGUACCUUAUCAGAAAGCCACGGCUAACUACGUG